Podarcis lilfordi (Lilford's wall lizard) is the source of this 89-nucleotide non-coding RNA. The record is from the annotation of a GenBank genome assembly. Lineage: Eukaryota; Metazoa; Chordata; Lepidosauria; Squamata; Lacertidae.
AUACGUAUAUGCAUAUAUAUAUAUAUAUAUAUAUAUAUGCAUAUGUAUGUAUGUAUAUGCAUACUGUAUAUAUAUAUGUGUGUGUGUGU